This 301-nucleotide ribosomal RNA is filed under the name uncultured bacterium. RNAcentral's name for it is "partial 16S ribosomal RNA". It matches the Rfam family "Bacterial small subunit ribosomal RNA", at positions 509 to 809 of the family's 1533-position model. The record is from RNAcentral.
CAGUCGCCGCGGUAAUACGUAGGGCGCGAGCGUUAAUCGGAAUUACUGGGCGUAAAGCGUGCGCAGGCGGUUAUAUAAGACAGAUGUGAAAUCCCCGGGCUCAACCUGGGACCUGCAUUUGUGACUGUAUAGCUAGAGUACGGUAGAGGGGGAUGGAAUUCCGCGUGUAGCAGUGAAAUGCGUAGAUAUGCGGAGGAACACCGAUGGCGAAGGCAAUCCCCUGGACCUGUACUGACGCUCAUGCACGAAAGCGUGGGGAGCAAACAGGAUUAGAUACCCGCGUAGUCCCUGUCUCUUAUAA